Molecule: long non-coding RNA, 1071 nt
Organism: Pseudopipra pipra
Lineage: Eukaryota; Metazoa; Chordata; Aves; Passeriformes; Pipridae
Exons: 2
Source: RefSeq, a predicted model, not a curated record
ACUGUGUCUAUGCAACAAGGUCCCCUUGGUGUCCUCCAAGGGAACUCGCUGAGAGUGUCGUUCACUGAGCUGAAUUUGAGGCAGCAGGAGGAGAUUCAGUGUGUGCAGUUGUCAUGACUGUCACUCCACAUGCUCAAGAGCCUCAGGCAAGGAUUAAUUUGCAAAUCUCAAGCAAGUUAUAGGUAAAUCAGAGUCUUAGACUUGCCUAAAUCCUGAACAUAUUGCACUUCGGGUGUUUGCAUGCUGUAGUUAUAAGCACUACCUGAAAGCAGACAAUGGCAUGGGGUGGGAAAGCAAAGCGUGGUUACCCCCUCUUUUUCCACUCUUCUCAUUUCAGUGCAGUAUCCACUUCAGCUCCCUACUCCUCCCACCUUGGCUCAUUGUGUGCUGUGCCUGGGUCUGCAGGGAGCAGCGGGACUGAACUGCUGCAGGCUGGUGUCACCCACCCAUAAGUUGUGCUCUGCCUCUCUGCACAUCUGUGCCAGCUGAUUUGUGGAGCUGUGCCGAGUAUUUGCAGAGGAAGAGAGGCCUCUGAAGGAUAGUCCUGGAGGAUGGAAAGCUUUUGGGCAGCACAUUUGAGUGGUGGUGCUACUAAAGAGGCUGGGACAAAAUACUGCCAUGAAAAUGAUGUGCAGGUGGGAUCCCACCAAAUCAUCCUUGUCUUCUCCUUGGCUCAGGUGGUAAAGGCAUCCAGGCACCCUCCUCCUCCCUCCGCUGCUGCGCUGCGUCUGCCUCUCCUCUUCCUUGCUGCCUUUGUGAUUUCUACAUUCUCGGGAGUGCUGUCCCCUUCUCUCAUGGAUUCCUCUUCCAAAUGAUGCCUGUUUCAGUCCAGCCCAGCUCCUUAUUUAUGCCUCCCUUGGGAGCAGUGCUCUCUGCAACUCACAGCCUCUGAGAUUUUAUUAAAUUGAAGCGGUGUGGAAGGGAAACAGCACAAGCCUGAGCUGUGCUGUCUCCUUUGUGUCCCUGCUAUCUGUUCAGUCUCUGAGCAGUUGGGAACAGAUCCUUUCACUAAAACUGUGAGUUAGCAGGCAAGGGCAGAAAUUAUUAUAAUAAAAUCCUCCUGUUACACUU